GCGAAGCGAAUGCACUCCAUGCAGAGCGAAGUGUGGGCAUUCUCACUCCACGCUGCGCGGAGUGCUACACUUCGGCGUCUUCUUAAGGUAAAAAAAAAAAUUAAUAUGGGCAUGUCGUACUGUAAAACAUGAUUUUAAUGUGCUACCUUAAACUAUUAUAAGAGAACUCGACACUACAGAUUUAAGCUUGAAUUGCAAAAAAUUUGAAGAUCAUUUGUAUAACUUUUUAACAUAAUAGUAUUCAUAAAUAUAUUUUAAAUUUACUUUUAUCACAUGAAGGUUACCUUUUUACUAUAGUCGAUCACGCAGGAAGCUUGAUUAGGCAUAAAACUUGCAACAUGCUUGCCAAAAAGAAAAUAGUUAAAGGUGAG
Molecule: long non-coding RNA, 371 nt
Filed under: Olea europaea subsp. europaea
Lineage: Eukaryota; Viridiplantae; Streptophyta; Magnoliopsida; Lamiales; Oleaceae
Source: RNAcentral